AUUGAACGCUGGCGGCAGGCCUAACACAUGCAAGUCGAGCGGAUGAAGGGAGCUUGCUCCUGGAUUCAGCGGCGGACGGGUGAGUAAUGCCUAGGAAUCUGCCUGGUAGUGGGGGAUAACGUCCGGAAACGGGCGCUAAUACCGCAUACGUCCUGAGGGAGAAAGUGGGGGAUCUUCGGACCUCACGCUAUCAGAUGAGCCUAGGUCGGAUUAGCUAGUUGGUGGGGUAAAGGCCUACCAAGGCGACGAUCCGUAACUGGUCUGAGAGGAUGAUCAGGCACACUGGAACUGAGACACGGUCCAGACUCCUACGGGAGGCAGCAGUGGGGAAUAUUGGACAAUGGGCGAAAGCCUGAUCCAGCCAUGCCGCGUGUGUGAAGAAGGUCUUCGGAUUGUAGAGCACUUUAAGUUGGGAGGAAGGGCAGUAAGGUAAUACCUUGCUGUUUUGACGUUACCAACAGAAUAAGCACCGGCUAACUUCGUG
RNAcentral lists this ribosomal RNA (484 nucleotides) under uncultured bacterium. RNAcentral describes it as "partial 16S ribosomal RNA". It matches the Rfam family "Bacterial small subunit ribosomal RNA", at positions 30 to 507 of the family's 1533-position model. The record is from RNAcentral.